Molecule: long non-coding RNA, 467 nt
Organism: Capra hircus (goat)
Lineage: Eukaryota; Metazoa; Chordata; Mammalia; Artiodactyla; Bovidae
Source: Ensembl
CUUUAACCAGGACACACGUUGAUUUAGAUUUGUGGAAAAUCAUGUCAGAUACACAGAGAUUUGCCUUUAAGAGGACAGCAUGAUGGUCCCCCUACAGGAGAGCUACCAGGGGUCUUGGGCUGAGUCACGGAACAGAUGAUUUGCCUGUGUCCUGUCUCUGCUUCCCCAAGUCUUCACGUUCCCGAUUCAAGAAUGAGUGGUAUACUUCACUGGAUGUUCUACACACAACUUCACAUUGUUCACGUGGCGCCAUAGUCAUCACCACCAACGCCAGUCUUCCUGCUCUCAGACCAUCACACCUGGUUCCUCCUGAGAGCAGCGGCUGGAGAAAGGAAGGUUACGACCCUGAGAACAAGCAGGAAGAGACUUGUUACCCCAGCUGUGCCUUUUUCAAGACUUGACCAAGGCAACACGAUCAUGGAGCCCAGAAGUGGCCCUUGACUGGAAACACUGGGCGGUGAAAGUGG